RNAcentral lists this ribosomal RNA (253 nucleotides) under uncultured bacterium. Its description in RNAcentral is "partial 16S ribosomal RNA". It matches the Rfam family "Bacterial small subunit ribosomal RNA", at positions 524 to 776 of the family's 1533-position model. The record is from RNAcentral.
UACGUAGGGUGCAAGCGUUGUCCGGAAUUAUUGGGCGUAAAGAGCGUGUAGGCGGCCCGAUUAGUCCGCUGUGAAAGUCCAGGGCUCAACCCUGGAAUGCCGGUGGAUACUGUCGGGCUAGAGUCCGGAAGGGGCGAGUGGAAUUCCUGGUGUAGCGGUGAAAUGCGCAGAUAUCAGGAGGAACACCAAGGGCGAAGGCAGCUCGCUGGGACGUGACUGACGCUGAGACGCGAAAGCGUGGGGAGCAAACAGG